GGAGGCUACUUUGUCAGUUCAAUCUUUAUGGUUCUUUAUGAAAGAUGCUCCCGAAGUAUGAACUGCCACAGACAUAAGCGACUUAUUUGGGGGGAAAAAAGUGCUUCAUCUAAAACAGUAGGCGUGGCUGUUGUUGGUGGUGUUUUGUUUCUAUUGAUUUCUUUCUUUUUUUAUUGUGUUUAAUUUAUUUACUCUGAGUGAAGCCACCGCAUGCCGUCUCUCAACGUAGAUGGAAAGAGAGGCUCCACCUUUGAAAGGACGUGAUUGGUUAUGUAAAUAAACUAGUCAUUCUCCUCGGGCUCUACGCUGUAAUCUACUGUAUGGAUAAUUAAAUCAUCAAUCAAGGGGCUGGACUAUUUGAUGCCUUUGUUCAAAGCCAAUCAGAUCCAAGUGAAGUCGGAAGCGUAGUGAGAGGAAAGGUGUUCAACAUCUGGAAUUAAGAAACGCGGCUCAGGCUGUGGAGUGUAGACAGAUUACCACUUAGAAGAACUAGUCCCUUGAGAGACUUUUUACAUAACAGAUCUCAUUCCGGAUAAGGGAAGGAUAGAGAGGGCUGCCAUUAUUAUUGUUAUUAUUAUUAUUAUUUUUAUUAUUAUUAUUAUUAUUAUUGUUAUUAUUAUUAUUAGCUUGUAACCAUUCUGUUUGCACAUUUGGAAAGCUGUAUAUAAAAGGUUUUCACCCCCGGUGACUAUAAGAGUCCGUUAAGAGCGGCUUCACUAAUGGUAAGUAUGCUUUAAAUCAAACCUCUGCAACCGGUGCACAGGCAGCGUCCUCUCCUCCUGGUGUGCCUGGAUAAUGUCUACAAAGUAAGUUUGAGAUAGUGGACUCGAUUUGGAGAGGCAGCUUUCAGUGCUCGAAUUUAGGAUCCGUUUGGGGAGGCAGAUACGCAGACGAUUCCUGCGUUACAUUCCGAUCAAGGACUGAGGUCCAAUUUGUGUGUGUGUGUGUGUGUGUGCGUGUGUGAGAGCGCGCGCGUGUGUGCGUGUGUGUGUGUGUGUGUGUGUGUGUGUGUUUAUGUGUUUGUGACACUCUAAUUCCCGCAGCUCAAAGCUGCCGCUAUCCGUCCGUUCAUCCUUAUACACCGAGUGAGUGAGACUCGCGCUAUUUGCCAGAACAUUAUACAUGGCGUGAAAUGGGAUUAGUCCAUAGUCAACCUAUGGAUUGACGUGGAGGGCAACAUGCCUGCUCAAUUUAGUUGCAAAAAACCUACCCAGAAUAGCAGAAGCCGUUUGCCUCCCAAAAACAUGCACAUAUUUGCUGGUCUUUGUUGAUUUCAGCCCUUUACAAGGCAAGGCUGUUCGGGUCAGGAAGUCAAACGCGACAGCAUUCUCAUACAAGUUGAGAUGCACAUGUGAGCAUGUAAUAAGCAUACACGCUUACCAUAUGCUUUUACAAGACAAUUGUGCCCAUCAUUAAAAACACAUUGUUAAUGUCAUGCUUAGUAAAUAUGGUAAAAGUUCAUUGACCUAUGCAAUGCAUACGAGACCAUUUUGAAUCACGUUUACAAGCACUGCCAGAUGGCUGCAGCCUAUAGAAAAAAAAAUAAGCAUUUAUGCAGAUCAACAUUCAACUGGAAAGACAAACAAACAUACUAAUGUCAUAAAUGCCCAUUAUUUCAUUUGUAGGCUUUAGCAGGCAUAGUAUGAUAUAGCUAUAAUUUAGAACAUCUGUUUUAAGCCAACAUGACACCUGGCACUACAAUCAGUGAAAUCUCUUUAUGUGGAUAUCCAGAAUGAUCCGUGUCUAUUUGAAUACACCAUAUUGUAGCAGACAUGCUAGCUAUGUUAAAUGUAUUUUAAGUAUGUUUUUAAACAUUUAUAUCAUCUUAUUAUUAAAAAAUAGGUCAGAUAUUUUGUAUACAGAGUUAGCUCUCAAUAUAGCUUCUAGUAGCACAACAAAAGCUUACUAUUGUAUAAUG
Long non-coding RNA from Clupea harengus (Atlantic herring), 1918 nucleotides. RefSeq lists it as uncharacterized. Lineage: Eukaryota; Metazoa; Chordata; Actinopteri; Clupeiformes; Clupeidae. The record is from RefSeq and is a predicted model, not a curated record.